This is a long non-coding RNA of Pogoniulus pusillus (Red-fronted tinkerbird), 1720 nucleotides long. RefSeq lists it as uncharacterized. NCBI's taxonomy places the organism in Eukaryota, Metazoa, Chordata, Aves, Piciformes, Lybiidae. The transcript has 2 exons. The record is from RefSeq and is a predicted model, not a curated record.
UCCGCCGCGGCGCCUACGGGGGCCGGGAGGAGCCACAUUGCCCCUGCCGAGCGCCGCUUCCGGGGCCGCUCCUGCCCGCCAGCGGGAAGCCGGCACCGGCCGCGCCGCUGAGCCCUGGAGCUCCCGGUGAUGGGAUCAUGUCCCCGCCGCCAGCGCCGCAGGACUUAAAGCCCAAAGGCCGCGGUCCCUGCGGUUCCAGCCCCUUGCUCCCUCGGCGGGAGCCCUCCACACCGCUGCUCGCUGAGGGUGCAGGAGCCGAGGCCCAGAGGGGUUAAACAUCGCCCAGCAGGGCGCGGGUGCGCACAGCCCCUUCCCGGGGCGCUUCGACGGGGCGGGCGGGCUCCCGAGCCGAGCGUGGGCCCCAGGGACAGCGCAGCCACCGCAGACCGCCGCAGGAAAGCGAAAGGGAGGUGGAAGCGACCGAGCAAAGGUCACGUACGCGAAGGCAACGAGACAGCUGCUGCUGACCUUUAAAACCAACCCAAGCGGGCUGCAGGGUGAGGCAGAUUUCGUCAGCAGAAGCAAAUUGACAUCAGUGAAGAACUGGAGACACAUUUCAACAGCAGCCAGCUCACAAAAACCAGAUGUGAACAGGAAUGACUUAAACCAAACCAGUUGUAUUCCAGGGAAUGAGCCAACUCAACAUAUAUGUGGUGAGGAACAGCCUCACCUAAGAGCUUGCCUCUGCUCUUGAAGGCAGGAGAACUCCCACCAAGGCUCCUCAACGUAGAAGUAAAAUCCAGCACAAAUGAGUUAACAGAGUUAACAUCACUAAGCCUAGAAAUGUUUUUGGUAUUGUGUCCCCUCCUCCCUUCCCCUGGACAGGAGAGCCCAGUGCUGGGGACUGCAGACAACAACCAGUCCCAAACCUUAAAGCAGUUACAGUUAAUAGAAACCCUUUGCUUUCUGUGCUGAGCCAGGCUGCCUUAGAAAGCAUCUGAACAAUUAGGAAUAGUAUCUUACAAAGUUACUGAGGGAAGGAAAAGAUAAACCAGGAUCUUUUUUGGACUCUGAGGUACGUGAACAGCAAUUGGGUUGUAUCAGUCUCCAGACUCUGGAAUGCCACCAGAGUUAAACAGUCAAAACCGAAUCCAACCUGUGUGAACCACCAACGCACUUGGAAGACAUCUUGGGCAUCCCCAAGAGCCAGCUGCCUGCUGGGCCAGCUGGGCUCUGGUUCCCCCACGCCGCUCUGACGGGGUCAGGAAUCCCUCAGCUGAUCUGAACUAAGCCAAAAACCUUUGAGACAACUGAGAUCUGGAUAAAGAAUUCACAAACUGGUUUGUGCAAAUUUUUUUUUGUUUUUAUUUCCACAUUUAUAUCACAAUGUGUCCACUUAAUGGACCAAAUAGCAAAGUUGCUCCCUUCUGCAUCCCAAGAACACAGAAGUCUAGGUACUGUACAUUCACUAAGGCUCUUUGUUUUUGCAAGUUGCGUUUAUGAUGGAUAUCCAUAAGGCAAACAAUAUCUAAAGGAAUGGUAACAAGUAUACUUCCAGCAUACAAACAGGCUUCCUUUUUCCCUCUCACAGUACAGUUACAAACUUGUAGCACCCUCGUUACAUUUAGAUUCUAGAAAAGGUGAUUUUUUUUUUUUCUUGCCUUUUUUUUGUGUGUGUGUGGUUUUUGGGGUUGGGUUUUUUUUUGUUUGGUUGGUUUUGGUCUGUUUUUUUUUCCUUUUUUUUUUCUCUUGUGUUUUGUUGUUUGUUUGUUUUUUUUUU